AUUGAACGCUGGCGGCAGGCCUAACACAUGCAAGUCGAGCGGAUGAAGGGAGCUUGCUCCUGGAUUCAGCGGCGGACGGGUGAGUAAUGCCUAGGAAUCUGCCUGGUAGUGGGGGAUAACGUCCGGAAACGGGCGCUAAUACCGCAUACGUCCUGAGGGAGAAAGAGGGGGAUCUUCGGACCUCACGCUAUCAGAUGAGCCUAGGUCGGAUUAGCUAGUUGGUGGGGUAAAGGCCUACCAAGGCGACGAUCCGUAACUGGUCUGAGAGGAUGAUCAGUCACACUGGAACUUAGACACCGUCCAGGCUCCUACGGGAGGCAGCAGUGGGGAAUAUUGGACAAUGGGCGAAAGCCUGAUCCAGCCAUGCCGCGUGUGUGAAGAAGGUCUUCGGAUUGUAAAGCACGUUAAGUUGGGAGGAAGGGCAGUAAGUUAAUACCUUGCUGUUUUGACGUUACCAACAGAAUAAGCACCGGCUAACUUCGUG
RNAcentral lists this ribosomal RNA (484 nucleotides) under uncultured bacterium. RNAcentral describes it as "partial 16S ribosomal RNA". It matches the Rfam family "Bacterial small subunit ribosomal RNA", at positions 30 to 507 of the family's 1533-position model. The record is from RNAcentral.